AUGAGAACAGGUCUAUGUCCUGAUCUAACCUGCACUUGUGUCUUUAUUGUGCCUUGUGUGCUUAUACCCCUAAACCACAUCAGCACCAGAGGCCUUGCUAAGGGAUGUGAUGUCCAAUGGUUGAUUUUGGCAGUGGAAGGCUGGGCUGAGUCAGGAAUAUAUGAGCAGGUUCCUCUAGUAGCAACCACCCUUGGACAAGAGACUAUCACAAAGGCACCCAAAAAUGAGGAACUUUCACUAGAGGUGAUGGGGUGGUAAAAAUCUUGUAAAUUUUGGAAGACGUCUCAUAAGGAUUCAUUCAUUCCUGAAACAUGAACUACUGAGCACAGAAUUUAUGAUGUAAUCAUGUUUAGAAGAGAGUACUGAAAGCCAAAUGUGUGGAAGGUGGCAGAUUUACCCUUAAAACUGGAUCUAUCUCCCAAACAUGAAGAUAGCCAAGGUGUGUC
This 446-nucleotide long non-coding RNA is filed under the name Taeniopygia guttata (zebra finch). RNAcentral's name for it is "lncRNA (ENSTGUG00000021329.1)". Lineage: Eukaryota; Metazoa; Chordata; Aves; Passeriformes; Estrildidae. The record is from RNAcentral.